GCCAGUCUGCAUGGAGCCGACCUUGAAAUACCACCCUUUAAUGUUUGAUGUUCUAACGUUGGCCCGUAAUCCGGGUUGCGGACAGUGUCUGGUGGGUAGUUUGACUGGGGCGGUCUCCUCCUAAAGAGUAACGGAGGAGCACGAAGGUUGGCUAAUCCUGGUCGGACAUCAGGAGGUUAGUGCAAUGGCAUAAGCCAGCUUGACUGCGAGCGUGACGGCGCGAGCAGGUGCGAAAGCAGGUCAUAGUGAUCCGGUGGUUCUGAAUGGAAGGGCCAUCGCUCAACGGAUAAAAGGUACUCCGGGGAUAACAGGCUGAUACCGCCCAAGAGUUCAUAUCGACGGCGGUGUUUGGCACCUCGAUGUCGGCUCAUCACAUCCUGGGGCUGAAGUAGGUCCCAAGGGUAUGGCUGUUCGCCAUUUAAAGUGGUACGCGAGCUGGGUUUAGAACGUCGUGAGACAGUUCGGUCCCUAUCUGCCGUGGGCG
RNAcentral lists this ribosomal RNA (484 nucleotides) under Escherichia coli. Its description in RNAcentral is "partial 23S ribosomal RNA". It matches the Rfam family "Bacterial large subunit ribosomal RNA", at positions 2170 to 2653 of the family's 2925-position model. Lineage: Bacteria; Pseudomonadati; Pseudomonadota; Gammaproteobacteria; Enterobacterales; Enterobacteriaceae. The record is from RNAcentral.